Maniola jurtina (meadow brown) is the source of this 1938-nucleotide RNA transcript. RefSeq lists it as uncharacterized. The record is from RefSeq and is a predicted model, not a curated record. Lineage: Eukaryota; Metazoa; Arthropoda; Insecta; Lepidoptera; Nymphalidae. The transcript has 4 exons.
ACUCAACUAGUAUUAUACUCGUGUCUUGUCCUCGGAUUAGCUGAAAUAUUUGUUUUUAUAUAUCUUGUAGUACGCUCGUUAGCUACUGCCAAACAACACUGUUUUAGAGAAUAGAUAGGUAUAUAUAUAUUUUUUUUUUUUUUUUUUGGGUUGGUAUCAUUAUACACUGUAGUCUGUGGUAUCAUUACCCAAUAUGCUUGUUCCCAGAAUGUCUCCUCUCAUUCGCUUUUUAGUGCUGCCACUCAACACAACUCAGUUCAGUUAUGCCUAAGAGAAAAAAUAACGAACUGGAGUAUAUUAGUAAGAAGAUAAGGAAAUUAGAAGAGAAAUUACGCCGAGCACGAAGAAUGGAAGAGUCUUCAGACUCCUCUUCAUCAUCGGAAUUGCUAGACUUGCAAAACGAUGCAGGCGACGAAUUCAGCAUAUGUUCCAGGCCACCCAGCCCAAUAGAGGAGGUAGAAAUAAUCUCCAUGGACAAUGAACCGCUGCUGGCAGAGGUACCGCCCGCGCCGCCAGAAAUACCUGCUGAGAGUACCGAGGUACCUAAUGGAGAUCAAGCUUUGCCGGACGAGAUUUUGGAGAUUUUGGGAGAGGACCCAACAUCUGUUUCGCAAUUGGGACCGGAAAUACGGAAGGAGUUGGCUAACAGAUUAAAUCACAUCGCUAUCUCCGGUCUGGAUAAAGAGGUCCGAAAAGAUUUAUUCCAAAAUAAAAAAUACAUGGUUCCUACCAACAGCGAACGCAUCGCCGCGCCAUUACUUAACUUAGAAAUAAGGGCCGCAUUGCCAGAUACCAUAUUAAAACGGGACAAGGGCAUGGAAACGAGACAAAAGCAGAUAUCUGCGGUUAUUUCUUGUAUUGCCCGGGUUAUAGAUAAUCAAAUAAAAAAUAAUAAUGCUGACAGCAAAGUAACCAAGGAACUGAUGGACAGCAUUCGUAUGCUCUGUGACAUCCAGUAUUCCGACUCUAUGAGAAGAAGAUAUUUUAUUUUAUCUUGCGUAAAAAGGGACGUGUUAGAACACCUAAAACUGACAAAGGUUGACAAGUACUUGUUUGGUGAAAACAUAUCAUAGACUUUAAAAACGGCAAAAACGGUGUCAAGAUCGAGAGCCGAGAUUAUAAAAACUCAGGGCAGUAAUAAUAAAGGAACAAUAAAGAGGAAAACACAACCAUCAACUUCAACUUUAAACUACAGGGCUCCUCCGGCACGCAGGCAGCCGGUACAAAAGAGGAGCCAUCCGCCUGCUCCAGCGCGGAAGCCCGAAUUCUCAUCGAGAGGAUCGCGGCAUCAUCAACAGCAAUACAGGAACCCACAUCGCGAUUAAACGAGCAAACGCAACAUACAGUCACAACUUACCCUGGUUGCUGGGAUAUUAUACGGCGGUCAUUACUACGAAGAGACACCCCACCAGCCUCAAUCGACAUAAUGCUAUCAUCCCUGGCAGAAAGCUCCAUCAAACAGUACGAUGUUUGCUUGAAGAAAUGGUUUACACAUUGUAACAGGAAUUCAAUAAAUAUGUUGGAAGCACCAGUCCCAGAGAGAGACCUGCUAUAUGUCCAGCACAAGCUCUUACAGCUUAUAUAAGUAAAACCUCUACAUUACGUAGUCAAGAGGAUUUAUUUAUUAGUUAUAAAAAACCUUUCAAAGUAGUUUCAACCCAAACAUUAAGUCGCUGGAUAAAAACCGUACUAAAAGAGAGCGGUAUUGAUGUAUCCAUAUUCUCUGCCCACAGCACCAGACAUGCUGCAACUUCUAAAGCUUAUAGAGCAGGCAUCAACAUAGAUAUUAUUCGCAAAACUGCGGGCUGGAGCCAAAACUCCAGCACGUUUUGGAAAUAUUAUAAUAGAGAUUUGAUUUGUAAUCAGGAAAAUUCCUCUAUAGCCAAAGCAAUCAUAGGAAAAUAGAACAAAUUACAUUAAAAUUGUUGGGAAAUUGAA